Molecule: long non-coding RNA, 1199 nt
Filed under: Hordeum vulgare
Lineage: Eukaryota; Viridiplantae; Streptophyta; Magnoliopsida; Poales; Poaceae
Description: long non-coding RNA (HVUL_LNC017607)
Source: RNAcentral
UUAAAAUAAAUUGUCAAAAUUUGACACAGAAUACAAAGGGGCCAACAAACAAGACGCAGGAAAUGGAGUUGCAACAAUAUAGAUAUCUUUGGAUGGAAGGAAACUAAUUUAGUUGUGUUUCCAUCUUCGUAAGGAUACUUGUAAUUUCUAUUAGAAGAUACAUGUAGAUGCAACACCUUGUACUCCCUGAUAGCUCUAUCCUAAACAUCAGAGGAUUUCAUUCGCAUGGAACUGUUAGCAUUACGUGGUAUCAAAUGACAUUUUACGAGGCAUUUGCCCAAUCGCCUCCAAUGGAAGAAAGAAAAGUACCAUAUAGUUCCAAUUGCCUUACUUUCAUCUACUAACCUGCCAUAGAAUAAUCCCUAAUGCCUCUCACACCUAUGUAACUCAUUUAAAUAAGAUGCGGUCAUUUAAAUAAGAUGGUGAUCAUUCUUAAUGAAUAUAUAGAUGUUCUCAUCAUCAUUACUAGAGAAACUAGACAUGAGAGACUUGCAUUGGAAUGCAACUAUAUUUAUCUGUUAAAAAUCACUAAUGUGAUGGUGCUUCUGUAGCUCACUGGCACUGCAUUUAUCUUCUCCAAUUUCAGCACAUGCACUACCUCUAAUAUACUCAAUUUGAUUUUCCAUCCUUGCCUUUUUAUGAUAGAACCAUAUCCUCGUCGUGUCAUGCGCUCACAGGUCAUUGAUAUGACUGUACACAUAGCAAGCAUGUACACUACAUCUAAUGGACAGAUGAGUACUAGCGUGAUAGCAUACAUGUAUCAUUCUGUGCAAGUUAUUGGAGAUGUUAGUGUUAUGAUGAGGUCAAAAAUAAUAUGUUUGUGUUAAGAGUGCGUACACCCACCUCUAGGUUCCUGUCCUAGUUUGAAUUUGGACUCCUAUGUUAUUACUAUGCAUAAUACAUACUUGAGGCAGCAGUUCAGUUCCAUUUUUUAUGGAAAAAAUACAACGAAGUUCCCUAAAUUUUCAGUUAUAUUGAUCGUCGUCGUUAUUGCUAGAAAAAAACAUUACAAGGAUAUCUGCAAUGGUUAUUUAAAGUGAGCCUAAAUAUAUUAAAUGGAUUGGAAAUUUCCAAUAAUAUCAUGAUAACACACAUGUUAUAGUCUAAUCUCUUUUGUGGCAUUUGUCAAGCGUGAGCGAUGUACAUUCGUGAUCACUUCUCCUUGCAAAUGAAUGUACACUUGAUGAAGCAAAUCCUCC